RNAcentral lists this ribosomal RNA (474 nucleotides) under uncultured bacterium. Its description in RNAcentral is "bacterial SSU rRNA". It matches the Rfam family "Bacterial small subunit ribosomal RNA", at positions 335 to 799 of the family's 1533-position model. The record is from RNAcentral.
ACUCCUACGGGAGGCAGCAGUGGGGAAUAUUGCACAAUGGGCGCAAGCCUGAUGCAGCCAUGCCGCGUGUGUGAAGAAGGCCUUCGGGUUGUAAAGCACUUUCAGCAGUGAGGAAGGCGGAGUCGUUAAUAGCGGCCUCGUUUGUACGUUAGCUGCAGAAGAAGCACCGGCUAACUCCGUGCCAGCAGCCGCGGUAAUACGGAGGGUGCGAGCGUUAAUCGGAAUUACUGGGCGUAAAGCGCAUGCAGGUGGUUUGUUAAGUCAGAUGUGAAAGCCCGGGGCGUCAACCUCGGAAUAGCAUUUGAAACUGGCAGACUAGAGUACUGUAGAGGGGGGUAGAAUUUCAGGUGUAGCGGUGAAAUGCGUAGAGAUCUGAAGGAUACCGGUGGCAAGGGCGGCCCCCUGGACAGAUACUGACACUCAGAUGCGAAAGCGUGGGGAGCAAACAGGAUUAGAUACCCUGGUAGGAUAGCG